AAUCCCUAUUUUUAUGUUUUUGCCGAUUGUUAUUGUAUUUUAGGUUUAUUGUUGUUAAUGAAGUUGUUGAUUAUAUUGUUUAAAUUAAUUAGUUUGUGAUUAUUGUAAUUGUGCUCUAAGUGUUCGAUAAAAUGGCUAACCGAACAAUUUUUUAAUUUUUUGUUGUUUAGAUAUGGAAAACGAUGUUGGGAGAAGAAGACAUGGUAUGAAGAGAAAUACCCAUAGUUCAUCAUGUAGAGAAGAUGCAGUAAAUGUUUCUCCUCCUCGAAAAAGGGGUUGACCUAGGGAAAAUCAACAUGAACAUGAUGCUUCAGCUUCACAAGAACAUGAACAAGCUAAGUAUGUCGACAAUGAGGAAGAGUGGCAUGAGAUACCACAUGAACCACAUUACCAACCACAAUUGGAAGAACAAGCCACUAGGUUUGGUCUUGGUGAGUGGUUUAGGUAGU
Molecule: long non-coding RNA, 449 nt
Filed under: Trifolium pratense (red clover)
Lineage: Eukaryota; Viridiplantae; Streptophyta; Magnoliopsida; Fabales; Fabaceae
Description: long non-coding RNA (TPRA_LNC009706)
Source: RNAcentral